Molecule: unclassified non-coding RNA, 1745 nt
Filed under: Hevea brasiliensis (rubber tree)
Lineage: Eukaryota; Viridiplantae; Streptophyta; Magnoliopsida; Malpighiales; Euphorbiaceae
Source: RNAcentral
GCAAGAAGAAAGAAAGGAAGAAAGAAGAAGAAGAAGACCGGCCAGCUCAUGUCUUCAAGAAGCAAUAGAAAAGCAAGAAGAAAGAGAGAAGAAGAAGAAGAAAGAAAGAAGUUCAAAAAGAUAUCCUGUGUUCUGAUUUUCUUUCCCAAGAAGUUCAAAAAGACAUCUUGUGUUCUGAUUUUCUUUCCCCCUUUGUGUACUUGUUGCUUGCGAUUAGAUGGCUUUUGGCCUUUGAACUUGGAAGGUUAAGGUUGGAGAAUGCAGCAAAAGGUAGAGACAGCGCCCUUUGUUGAUGUGGGCUUGCCAUGGUGGUGAAAAAUAGCACUGCCAACAUGGUGGGUGAUGGUGAUGGUGGUGGUGGUGGACUGUGGUUAUAGAGGUAUGGGAUUCUGGCAGUUGACAAUAGCAAGUUGGCGAAGGAUGUCCCAGAGAAAAUGUUCUGGGCUAUCUUUGUUCUUGGCCAUGAUCGCUAAUUGUUUAUUUACUUAUUCUUGGAACAUCUUUUUCUAAGCAGAAUUUGGAUGAAACAGAGAACACUGGUGUUAUUAAUGGAAUCUUUACUGGGUUUAAAAUAAAAGGCCUUACAAGGUGCCAGUCUCUGCUAAAUAAUGUUGGACGCAUGCAUUAAAAAAAAUAUUGAUACAAAACAAGUGAGACUAAAUUGAGUAGUAAAAUACAUGUCAUAUGUGAUAAGAUGAAAGAAUAAGAUGAUGAAUUAAUACAUCCAACAAAAGGUGGAAGUGGCAUAAAUUGAGGAAAACUUGAUGAAAAGAAGAAUAAAAUGAUGGAUUAAUACAUCCAACAAAAGUUGGAUGUGACAUCACUUGGGAAAAAAUUGGUGUAAGCUUCUUUGAGACCUCACAUCUUCAGUAAAACUCUAAGCAUGCCAAUGAGAACUGACUAAAUUAAAAAAUACAAGUGAAUAAUGAAAGAGAUGGGAAGAACUAGACUUAAUUGAAUUGUUAAAAAGAACUAAACCCCACAUGUAGAAAUAUGACCCUGAAUGAAAAUGAUUAUGUUUCUUGGAAUAGUGUAACUGAGAUGUCACAUUCAUAAGAUAGGUGCAACUGAAUGGAGGAUAUUAUGAUGUGAGAUUUAAACAAUAGGAAAACGUUUAAGCAAAAUCUCAUUAAACAUUUGGAGAGAGAAAAGAGAGGUCAAUAAUGUAUCAACCAAAGAAAAAAAAAAGAAUAAGUUCACAGUAACCCAUCAGCCUUUAAGUUCCAUCCCAGUCUAACCAUCCUCUAAGACUAAACUAAUCCCAUUGUUCCACUGAUACAGAAAUUAAUUCCCAUAUACUUUUCCAAUUUGUUCUGUACACUGUACUCGCUUUGAAUUCAUGAUAGUUGCUACAACACUUCACCUAAACAUAAAACAACCAUGUUAGUUAAAGAUGCUCAGAGAUGGACAUGGUACUUUGACACUUCAAAAUCAGUGGAAAAAUCAAAGAAAGUUGAGAAAAAUAGGUGGGUCAAACUCACAAACAUGUACUCAUGUUCAAGUCCAAGUAACAUAGGAAUUCAUCAAUUAUUUGAGCCAAAUUAUUUGUUCUCCAAUCACAUUUGAACACCCUAAACAACUUAUACUUUAUAUCAACACUGUAAACGCUCCAAUUUAACAGACCCUCGCCCAUUACAUUUCUUGAAAAUACUACAAUAACUGAGGAAAUUCGAGCACAACAAGAAAAGAAGACGCUUUUCUACAAAAUUUACAUAGUUUACCUUCAAGCAUAGCAAUUCCACGCU